RNAcentral lists this ribosomal RNA (701 nucleotides) under Salmonella enterica subsp. enterica serovar Montevideo. RNAcentral's name for it is "partial 23S ribosomal RNA". It matches the Rfam family "Bacterial large subunit ribosomal RNA", at positions 683 to 1380 of the family's 2925-position model. Lineage: Bacteria; Pseudomonadati; Pseudomonadota; Gammaproteobacteria; Enterobacterales; Enterobacteriaceae. The record is from RNAcentral.
CUUAAUUGGGCGUUAAGUUGCAGGGUAUAGACCCGAAACCCGGUGAUCUAGCCAUGGGCAGGUUGAAGGUUGGGUAACACUAACUGGAGGACCGAACCGACUAAUGUUGAAAAAUUAGCGGAUGACCUGUGGCUGGGGGUGAAAGGCCAAUCAAACCGGGAGAUAGCUGGUUCUCCCCGAAAGCUAUUUAGGUAGCGCCUCGUGAAUUCAUCUCCGGGGGUAGAGCACUGUUUCGGCUAGGGGGCCAUCCCGGCUUACCAACCCGAUGCAAACUGCGAAUACCGGAGAAUGUUAUCACGGGAGACACACGGCGGGUGCUAACGUCCGUCGUGAAGAGGGAAACAACCCAGACCGCCAGCUAAGGUCCCAAAGUCAUGGUUAAGUGGGAAACGAUGUGGGAAGGCCCAGACAGCCAGGAUGUUGGCUUAGAAGCAGCCAUCAUUUAAAGAAAGCGUAAUAGCUCACUGGUCGAGUCGGCCUGCGCGGAAGAUGUAACGGGGCUAAACCAUGCACCGAAGCUGCGGCAGCGACACUCAGGUGUUGUUGGGUAGGGGAGCGUUCUGUAAGCCUGCGAAGGUGGCCUGUGAGGGUUGCUGGAGGUAUCAGAAGUGCGAAUGCUGACAUAAGUAACGAUAAAGCGGGUGAAAAGCCCGCUCGCCGGAAGACCAAGGGUUCCUGUCCAACGUUAAUCGGGGCAGGGU